GUGCUCGCCUCAGCAGCUCAUAUGCUAGAAUGGGAACAACACAGAAAAGGUUAGCAUGGCCCUGUGCAAGGAUGACAUGCAGAUUUGUGAAGCUUUCUCUAUUUUU
Lutra lutra (Eurasian river otter) is the source of this 106-nucleotide small nuclear RNA. NCBI's taxonomy places the organism in Eukaryota, Metazoa, Chordata, Mammalia, Carnivora, Mustelidae. The record is from RefSeq and is a predicted model, not a curated record.